RNAcentral lists this long non-coding RNA (211 nucleotides) under Nicotiana benthamiana. RNAcentral describes it as "long non-coding RNA (NBEN_LNC000352)". Lineage: Eukaryota; Viridiplantae; Streptophyta; Magnoliopsida; Solanales; Solanaceae. The record is from RNAcentral.
UUCCAAAAUGUACUCCCUUAUGUUUCCCUUGCCUUUAUACCUCAUGGAAACAAGUUUGCUCACAAGAGUACUUGUUUCCGCCUUUUCGUUUUGUGCAAAACACUUUUCAAGGUUUUCAAGAAAAACUUUGGCAUUAUUUUCAUCAUUGAUAGUGCCCCUGAAUGAUUCUGGAAUUGCACAUUUCAUGAUCAUUAGACUCAUGCGAUUUGAG